This 406-nucleotide ribosomal RNA is filed under the name uncultured bacterium. RNAcentral's name for it is "partial 16S ribosomal RNA". It matches the Rfam family "Bacterial small subunit ribosomal RNA", at positions 30 to 526 of the family's 1533-position model. The record is from RNAcentral.
AUUGAGCGCUGGCGGCAGGCCUAACACAUGCAAGUCGAACGAGUGGCGGACGGGUGAGUAAUGUCUGGGAAACUGCCUGAUGGAGGGGGAUAACUACUGGAAACGGUAGCUAAUACCGCAUACCAUCGGAUGUGCCCAGAUGGGCUUAGCUAGUAGGUGGGGUAACGGCUCACCUAGGCGACGAUCCCUAGCUGGUCUGAUAGGAUGACCAGCCAAACUGGAACUGAGACACGGUCCAGACUCCUACGGGAGGCAGCAGGGGGGAAUAUGGCACAAUGGGCGCAAGCCGGAUGCAGCCAUGCCGCGUGUAUGAAGAAGGCCUUCGGGUUGUAAAGUACUUUCAGCGGGGAGGCGUUACCCGCAGAAGAAGCACCGGCUAACUCCGUGCCAGAAGCCGCGGUAAUGC